Molecule: ribosomal RNA, 361 nt
Filed under: uncultured bacterium
Lineage: Bacteria
Description: bacterial SSU rRNA
Rfam family: Bacterial small subunit ribosomal RNA
Source: RNAcentral
UAUUGGACAAUGGGCGAAAGCCUGAUCCAGCAAUGCCGCGUGAGUGAUGAAGGCCUUAGGGUUGUAAAGCUCUUUUACCAGGGAUGAUAAUGACAGUACCUGGAGAAUAAGCUCCGGCUAACUCCGUGCCAGCAGCCGCGGUAAUACGGAGGGAGCUAGCGUUGUUCGGAAUUACUGGGCGUAAAGAGUACGUAGGCGGUGAUUCAAGUCAGAGGUGAAAGCCUGGAGCUCAACUCCAGAACUGCCUUUGAAACUAGAUCGCUAGAAUCAUGAGAGGUAGUGAAUUCCGAGUGAGAGGUAAAUUCGAGUUUCGAAGACACCAGUGGCGAGGGCAACUGGCAUGUUAGCGUGGUCAAAUCGA